Molecule: ribosomal RNA, 1092 nt
Filed under: Triticum aestivum (bread wheat)
Lineage: Eukaryota; Viridiplantae; Streptophyta; Magnoliopsida; Poales; Poaceae
Description: partial small subunit ribosomal RNA
Source: RNAcentral
AUGGCGUGCGUAGGGGAGGAGGAGUUGAGUUGGGAGGACCUCUUCUUUGACGAGGCGAAGAUGCUGGCCGCGGCGCAGAAGGAGGAGGAGAAGAAGGCGCGGCAGGAAGAGGAGAAGGCGCGGCAGGAAGAGGAGAAGGCGCGGAAGGCGGAGGAGAGACGGCGGCGAGGCCUAGAUCACAAGCGGGUCAUGGCAUCCAUCGUCGAGUACGACCCCAAGACGAAGCGCAAGGUCCGCACCCGCUACUCCUUCAACGACUUCUCCGUCUUCGACAUCAACGCCGAGUCGCCUAUCCCUCCAAUGCGAUACACCAAGAGGUCUGUACAUGGUUUGAUACUCCAAGACACUGCAAACAUACUUACUGUCAAGAUAGUAUCCUCGGAUAAAGGCUUCCCAAUCAAUGUGUAUGGCACUAUCAUCGCUAGAGACAGCAUCGACCACAAGUGCAUGUACCUCUUUAACCGCACCAGGGACAAUUGCCAACCUAUCAAGUCAAGGGAUGAAAAUCUGAUCUUAACUGGCCCAGGUCGAGGUCUGGUAUUACUUGAUUUCAUAUAUCUGGAGAUUGAUCUUAAAAUCAAGGUUGGCGAAGAGCCUCUAGACGAGCAAAUCAGCAAGGGUUUGCUUAUGAUUGAUGGACGAGUUCUUCCUAGAGACGAAAAGGUUGCUGUUGGACAGCAAACUCUUGAGAGCUGGUUUAGUAUUGUGGACGUGAGGUAUGCAACUCUUCUUCAUGCUGUCGAGGGUACCUUCGAGAUCAAGUUACUCGAGGGACGUUUCUGUGGAAAGAUUAAGGCUGGCAUCGAGGGCAUUCAACCUAGGAUUGUGGUUUAUAAUAGCAAGGAAGACGGUGUGGUGCCUUCUGAAGGCCGUACAGAUAUCACACUCCGGCGACGUGUCAUGACCCUCCGUCUGGAUGGUAUGCUCACACUUGGCUUUGCAGUCCGUGGUCUUGGUGGUGCUGCUGCUACUAGACAAUGGAAAGUUGAAUUCACACCACGACACCGUGGUGAAGAUAAAAAGGAGAUUUCUUGUGGUAUUGCCAGGCUUCAAGUGAAGGUCUUCUGGUCCAUGCUGGACUAUAGGCCGUAA